Molecule: ribosomal RNA, 253 nt
Filed under: uncultured microorganism
Description: partial 16S ribosomal RNA
Rfam family: Bacterial small subunit ribosomal RNA
Source: RNAcentral
UACGUAGGGUGCGAGCGUUAAUCGGAUUUACUGGGCGUAAAGCGUGCGCAGGCGGCCCGUUAAGACAGGUGUGAAAUCCCUGGGCUCAACCUAGGAAUUGCGCUUGUGACUGGCGGGCUCGAGUACGGUAGAGGGGGGUGGAAUUCCUGGUGUAGCAGUGAAAUGCGUAGAGAUCAGGAGGAACACCGAUGGCGAAGGCAGCCCCCUGGGCUUGUACUGACGCUCAUGCACGAAAGCGUGGGGAGCAAACAGG